GAUGAAGAACGCAGCGAAAUGCGAUAAGUAGUGUGAAUUGCAGAAUUCAGUGAAUCAUCGAAUCUUUGAACGCACAUUGCGCCCCUUGGUAUUCCAUGGGGCAUGCCUGUUCGAGCGUCAUUUGUACCUUCAAGCUUUGCUUGGUGUUGGGUGUUUGUCUCGCCUUUGCGUGUAGACUCGCCUUAAAAUAAUUGGCAGCCGGCGUAUUGAUUUCGGAGCGCAGUACAUCUCGCGCAUUGCACUCAUAACGACAGCGUCCAAAAGUACAUUUUACACUCUUGACCUCGGAUCAGGUAGGGAUACCCGCUGAACUUAAGCAUAUCAAUAAGCGGAGGA
RNAcentral lists this unclassified non-coding RNA (336 nucleotides) under soil metagenome. RNAcentral's name for it is "partial contains 5.8S ribosomal RNA, internal transcribed spacer 2, and large subunit ribosomal RNA". The stretch from base 1 to 120 matches the Rfam family "5.8S ribosomal RNA", at positions 35 to 154 of the family's 154-position model. The record is from RNAcentral.